Molecule: ribosomal RNA, 518 nt
Filed under: uncultured bacterium
Lineage: Bacteria
Description: bacterial SSU rRNA
Rfam family: Bacterial small subunit ribosomal RNA
Source: RNAcentral
ACGAACGCUGGCGGCGUGCCUAAUACAUGCAAGUCGAACGGUCUUUCUAUGGAAGCUUGCUUCCACUGAGAAGAUAGUGGCGAACGGGUGAGUAACACGUGGGUAACCUGCCCAUAAGAGGGGGGAUAACAUCCGGAAACGGGUGCUAAUACCGCAUAGUUUUCUUGAUCGCAUGAUUGAGAAAGGAAAGACGGCCUUUGUGCUGUCGCUUAUGGAUGGACCCGCGGCGUAUUAGUUAGUUGGUGAGGUAACGGCUCACCAAGACGAUGAUACGUAGCCGACCUGAGAGGGUGAUCGGCCACAUUGGGACUGAGACACGGCCCAAACUCCUACGGGAGGCAGCAGUAGGGAAUCUUCCGCAAUGGACGAAAGUCUGACGGAGCAACGCCGCGUGAGUGAAGAAAAGGUUUUCGGAUCGUAAAACUCUGUUGUCAGAGAAGAACAAGUUGGAGAGUAACUGCUCCAGCCUUGACGGUAUCUGACCAGAAAGCCACGGCUAACUACGUGCCAGCAGCCGC